GUGGGGAAUAUUCCGCAAUGGACGAAAGUCACGGAGCAACGCCGCGUGAGUGAUGAAGGUUUUCGGACUGUAAAGCUCUGUUGUUUAGGACGAAAGUGCCUGUUGCAAAUAGUUACAGGUAUUGACGGUACUGAACGAGGAAGCCACGGCUAACUACGUGCCAGCAGCCGCGGUAAUACGUAGGUGGCAAGCGUUGUCCGGAAUUAUUGGGCGUAAAGAGCAUGUAGGCGGGAAUCUAAGUCUGUUGUGAAAAUGCGGGGCUCAACCCCGUAGUGCGAUGGAAACUGGGUUUCUUGAGUGCAGGAGAGGAAAGGGGAAUUCCCAGUGUAGCGGUGAAAUGCGUAGAUAUUGGGAGGAACACCAGUGGCGAAGGCGCCUUUCUGGACUGUGUCUGACGCUGAGAUGCGAAAGCCAGGGUAGCGAACGGGAUUAGAUACCCGUGUAGUCC
This 448-nucleotide ribosomal RNA is filed under the name uncultured bacterium. Its description in RNAcentral is "partial 16S ribosomal RNA". It matches the Rfam family "Bacterial small subunit ribosomal RNA", at positions 354 to 796 of the family's 1533-position model. The record is from RNAcentral.